This 454-nucleotide ribosomal RNA is filed under the name uncultured eukaryote. RNAcentral describes it as "SSU rRNA". It matches the Rfam family "Eukaryotic small subunit ribosomal RNA", at positions 55 to 528 of the family's 1831-position model. The record is from RNAcentral.
AUGUCUAAGUAUAAAYCAUAUACGGUGAAACUGCGAAUGGCUCAUUACAACAGUUAUAGUUUAUUUGAUGAUGAAUUUUACAUGGAUAACCGUAGAAAACUAGAGCUAAUACAUGCGUAAAGGCCCUGCCUCUAGCGGGCUGUAUCWAUUAGAUAUGAAACCAAUUGCGUCMSCAUUGAGAUGAUUCAUAAUAACUGAUCGGAUCGCACCCAGUGCGAUAGAUCAUUCAAGUUUCUGCCCUAUCAGCUUUCGAUGGUAGUGUAUUGGAYUACCAUGGCGAUCACGGGUAACGGGGAAUUAGGGUUCRRUUCCGGAGAGGGAGCCUGAGAAACGGCUACCACAUCUAAGGAAGGCAGCAGGCGCGCAAAUUACCCAAUCCUGACYCAGGGAGGUAGUGACAAGAAAUAACAGACCGGGUCCCUCUGGGAUCACGGGAUUGUAAUGAGGACAAUGU